GUCCACGCCGUAAACGAUGAAUACUAGGUGUUGGGAGCAAAGCUCUUCGGUGCCGCCGCAAACGCAUUAAGUAUUCCACCUGGGAGUACGUUCGCAAGAAUGAAACUCAAAGGAAUUGACGGGACCCGCACAAGCGGUGGAGCAUGUGGUUUAAUUCGAAGCAACGCGAAGAACCUUACCAAGUCUUGACAUCCCUCUGACCGACUCUUAACCGAGUCUUCCUUCGGGACAGGGGAGACAGGUGGUGCAUGGUUGUCGU
This 259-nucleotide ribosomal RNA is filed under the name uncultured bacterium. RNAcentral's name for it is "partial 16S ribosomal RNA". It matches the Rfam family "Bacterial small subunit ribosomal RNA", at positions 793 to 1055 of the family's 1533-position model. The record is from RNAcentral.